GAAGCGUGUGUCUGCGCGGCUUACAGGGUGAGAUUCAAAAUCAGAACACUAAACAUGUAGAUCUGCCUGACGAAGGCUUGCGGACGCGGGUUCAAUUCCCGCCAGCUCCACCA
RNAcentral lists this transfer RNA (113 nucleotides) under Comamonas terrigena. RNAcentral describes it as "tRNA-Arg". It matches the Rfam family "transfer-messenger RNA", at positions 262 to 374 of the family's 374-position model. From Rfam's summary of the family: Bacterial tmRNA, also known as 10Sa RNA or SsrA, is named for its dual tRNA and mRNA-like properties. Its role is to liberate the mRNA from a stalled ribosome. Lineage: Bacteria; Pseudomonadati; Pseudomonadota; Betaproteobacteria; Burkholderiales; Comamonadaceae. The record is from RNAcentral.